This 348-nucleotide ribosomal RNA is filed under the name uncultured candidate division WS6 bacterium. Its description in RNAcentral is "bacterial SSU rRNA". It matches the Rfam family "Bacterial small subunit ribosomal RNA", at positions 1024 to 1382 of the family's 1533-position model. The record is from RNAcentral.
AGGGUGAUACACAGGUACUGCAUGGCCGUCGUCAGCUCGUGUCGUGAGAUGUACGGGUUAAGUCCCGAAACGAGCGCAACCCCCUAUCCCAUGUACAAGUGUCUUGGGAAACUGCCUCGGUAAAACGGGGAGGAAGGUGGGGAUGACGUCUGGUCCGCAUAGUCCUUAUGUCCUGGGGCUACACACGCGCUACAAUGGUCGGUACAAUGGGCAGCCAAGCCGCAAGGCGGAGCUAAUCCUUUAAAACCGAUCUCAGUUCGGAUUGUGGGCUGCAACUCGCCCGCAUGAAGUUGGAUUCGCUAGUAAUCGUGGAUCAGCCAUGCCACGGUGAAUACGUUCUCGGGUCUU